AUGGGAACCCUCCAAAGUCUAGGUACAGAUCUGAUGAUAUCCUGAAAGGCAGGGAUUUGCCUGAUGGCACCAACUAAAACAGAACCCCAUGGAAAGGAUAGACCAGCUUGUGUGUUCAUUAGGAAGGAGCAGUAAGUCACACGAAAGUAGUCAUCACAGCCAGAGCAACUGCCUUCUCCCACAUGGAUUUUUCUUGUUGCCAAGAGAAGUCUCCAGCCUCAAGGGCAGCCCUGUUUGAAAGAUGCCCAGUGGAGUUUUGUGAAGGUUUGGGAAGAGUAAGGGAGUGUACCGGCAACACGAAUGGACACGUAGAAAGUGAAGAGCCUCUGGCAGAAUGUCUGGAGUCCAGCUCACUCCCUGGCUUCGUAAUAGCCUUUCUUAACCCCAGAUAAACUUUAGGAUCAGCUGACAGCAUUUUAAAAGUACUGGUGCCUGGGCAGACCCUCAAAGCAAUGGAAAUAGGAUCAAAUCAAUUUCUCUCCCCACCUAAAAGUUUAGUGGAGUGAAUAAGGGUAUAAAACAUUUGUAAAAACUUAAGUGCAGAAACACAAAGUUAAUACUGAGGCUGAGUGACUUUGGUUCCUCUGGCCUGACUCUGACUCUUGACAGGUGGGGUGAGCAUUGCCAAAGCCAAGGGGGUCACCGCCAAAGAGGACAGUAGAUGAAGGAGAACCCAGGAGAGGGAGGGCCACCUCCGCUGCUGGGGCCCCAGUGCUCUGAACUGUGCACAGGCAGGCUAGGACCUGGUGGCCUAGCUGCUUCAGGAACUUUGGAAAUGCCGGGCUGAUGCCCGGGCUAGAGAACCCACCAUGCCUGUCUAAGGCCCAAGCGUCUACGUUUGAUGCUUUAAUAAUUACACCACUGAGGAAAAAAGAUUCUUCCCUCUCUCUGCCGUGACCCUUCCAGGUUACCUCAGAAUUUGGUCCCUCCUCAACCUACUUCCCCUGCUCACAGGAGAAAUGAGGGUAGAUCUUUUUUCUGCCAUAUAAGGGGCCUGUAUUAGACUUGGAGAUAGGCCUGACUUGACUCACAGCCCUAUCCAGUGGGGUUGCACAGUCUGUACAACUGAAGGCGAUGACCCUGAGGAGGCCGUGACUAGACAAACAUGCCACAGACACAAACGUGCAAAUGACUGAACACAUGCUUGCUCUCAUACACACACACGCAUGGCAAAGAAAGGAAAAUAGCAACAACAAAACCAGGAGAAGACUCAUUUUAACCUAGACAGUGUUUCAAGGGUUCCAUGUAAACUGUGAUUUUAGUGGCUUCUUCCUCAGCCCCAGAAAUUACGCUUCCUUUGAAGAGCCGACAUAGCACGCUAAAUGAUACCUUCAGUACUGGAAUUCCAUGUUCUGUUUCUCUCUAGGGUGGUAACAGAGACGGGAUACACAUCCUAGGGUCUAAUUCUCAAGUUACAUAAUUAGUAACUGCAUAACCAAUUAAAAAAAAAAUCCUGCUACAAGAUAGCAUCUCCUAGGAGGCAAAGCUGUUCCACAGGUUUAGUUUUUUUUUUUUUUUUUUUUUUUUUAAGUUCUAAGGCUGCUUUUAGCCCUAAGUCGUCAUUACCUGUUUCUUCAUCAUUACUGCUAUUAUUAUUACUAUUUGACCUCUGUUAAGAGAAUGCUCGUCUAGAAAGUUGAGUGUUGGAGGGAAGGGGGGAGAAGGAAUAGGAAAUUAUCUCAAAUCUGCAGCUCUCUGGCCUCUCCUGAGAAGCUUCUCUGGGUGCGGGAGGGGGCGGUCUUCUCUACUUCUCAUGCUGGUGAUUUCUAUCUCGGUGAUGGGGUUUCUCUAAUUUUUAUGAGACCCCGGUGCCUAUCAUGCUUCAUUCGUUGGCAAAUAACUGUGUGGAGGGCGGGACAACCAAAGGAAAGAGGAAAUCAAAUUACAUUAAUUAGGAGGCACGAAGUCUCUAACAGGAUAAAUAAAUCUCUUCUUUUUUGGUUCUUCAGUGAUGUAAUUAUUUCUUAUCCACAGACUCAAUCUACCUUCUCCCAGAAUAUGUGCUCAUACAGUUCACUUAUUAGGGCCGGACCUUAGGUCUCUAUCUAAAAGGUUGGUUUCCGCUCACUGACCCCUCAGGAGACCCACAGAGGUCUGCUUACAGGUGGGUCCCAGUUAGGGACUGACUUGGACACCGCCUGGAGUCCACGCCUUUUUAAAACUGCAUUUUCCCUCAACAAAGAGUUGUGCCUGUUGGUGAAAGGCAUCUCAGCAGAGCUAACAGUUGAGGUUGAUCGCUUGCUUUCUUUGGGGCAUUUUAUCUGCAAAGUACCAAGGAGCUCCUGUCACCGCCCCACUCCUCCACCCUCGCCUCUCACGUGCUCUUUGCUGCGCGCGCACACACACCAGCUUCAAGCUUGUCCUCUGCGGGGAUGUCCUUUUUCUUUGCACACAGAGAAGAUGAGAAUAGUGUCACAUCAACUGACACGUCUCUCAAACUUUGAGGAGCAGUGUUGGCAACUGCAACCACAACAAAGAGUCCACAUGGAGGGCCCACAGUUCUGCCCCAACACCAGAAUGCAGGCCAAUUCAAAUAUUUCGGAAACACCUCUCAGAGCCAAACGCUCAGCUCGGUGCACUUCAGGGGCAAACACUCCAGCCCUCCUCUUGGGAAGAUGUUUUAAACGGCCUUCCGCAUUAGUGUUUGGGUUAGGUUUAUGUCGAGAAGAUCAACACUUCACAGAUUUCUAGUUACCUCUAGAUCUAGUCUCUGAGAUUUGCGGUUGUGCCAAGUCUAAGCCACAGCUGUGUUAGUGGUUGCAGUCCAGUGCUAACAGUAAUUAGCAUUUAAUAGAACCAAACAGUAUACAAGUUGCUUUUGCACCCACUGUAUCGGAUACAGUGCGAGCGAGGCACAGACAAAUGUAAAAUUACAUAAUUUUUUAGAGAGUAAAAUGGUCCAUCAAUGCUGAGGGAAAAAGACAACUAGGACUCUCCCUGGGUGUUAUAGAGCCACACUUUCCAGAAGAAAUUUCCAAACAUCCAUGCUUAUGACAACAUUCCUUCCGGAUUUUCCAAAACAGUUCUAAUUUCUAUCAAUUUGCCCUCUCGUUGACAUAAAUAUCCUUGUACUUGUCAUACUGGGUACUGUGUAUUUUUGGUUUAUAGUCAGCAUAAUGAAAGCUCACUGCAAUUUUUGGUGCAUAUCCAGGCCACUUAACCAUAGGUCAUUCUCUCAUUUGGAGGCUACAAGCACGCACGCGCACGUAUGCAUACGCACAUAUAUACACAUGUAUAUAUUUAAAGACACCAAAUCAGGGUUACCAAAGUUGUGGUAUGAUUUAGAUAUUGGCAUUUGACAAUUAUAAUACCUGUAACCACCCCCAUACCAUGUAAUAUAAUUGUUCUGUUCACAAGAAAUUAUAAUUGCGUGGCUGAGCAUGUGAGCACACACACACCCUGUGUCUGGUGUGGGUUUCAGUCUUAUCCUUGGAUCCCCUUAUCUCUGACCCGAAGCCUAUCUGGCGGUCAUGUUAAAUAUCUAAAUGAAAGGUGGUUUUUGUGACUUUGAUCCUGCAGGGUAGAAAAAAGUAAUUUACCCUCUAGUUUUCUAAGUUCUUGGCUGGGGCCCCUGGAACAGAAGAUGGAUUACCAAGAGAGAGACGAAUAGAAGUUUAUUAACAUGUAUACCUCACAUACAGGGAGGACAGCCAGGGAGACACCAGGAAAAUGUGUAAUUCAGGCAGGUGGCUUAGAAUUUAGGCUGAAAUACGACCUUCAGCUCAAAGAAAAGGCAGAGUGAGGAGGGGGAAAGUCAAGUGUGCGAGGGUGACCAGGAACUUAAACCUUGUAAACAGAAUAAACUUCAUUAUGCAGAUUUCAGGCUGUGCCUUCUUUGUCGAUGACUUCUUCUGACUUAGAGCCCUGCUUCUCUUCCUAGUCCAGAAAGGGAGACCUUCCCCCCACCCCCUUACAAGCAGAGAUUUCCUUCACAAGUAUAAAUUUCCCUUCCAUAAAGGGCAACUUUUAUUCUCUUUCCAGAGCUUCUCUUAUGUCUGCUGUUUCUCAAAACAAUCCUUCUGCCUAGAGGCAUAUUUGGGGGUGCUGUAUGCUGGUGUCCUCCAGUAAUAGGAAAUGCCCUUCUGGCCUCCAAGUGAGAGGUUUUGGGGUGAACACUCAUAAAGCGGCCCUGAAAACGAGCACAGGCCCCAAUAAACAUGGUCAUGAGCCUGAUGGGAGAACACCAGUCCCCAGAAUCCAGGCGGGAGCUCUAUCCUCCUCAGUCUGGGAAGAUCUGGGUAAAACCCUGUGGCCUGGAAACAAUUUCACAGGUGGAUACACUUUUGAAACCAACUGCAGAGUUGUUAGAGCUCCAACUCGGCCCUCUUUGCUCCAGUGCUUUCAGGGGAGCAACGUGGAAAGCUCAGACAGGAUCAGCUUUCCUAGGCUAUCUAUCUAGCUUCCCACCUGCCGCUGUGGACACCCUGGUGUAAACGGGGGGCAGCUGCCCUGCAGGUGGGAGAGGAUGCUCUCCCUCACCACCAAAUCCCCCCCACCCCCCAGGAGAAAACUUGUUAAAAGCAAAAAGAAAUCUUCCCAUGGAGCCAUUAUUCGCUAUCUCAGCUCGGAACAGGACGCCAGUGCUGAGAUUAGGGGACGUUGUUUUAAAACACAGAAAUGGAAAGUUUUACCUGCGUGUUUGUACCAGCAUCCGAAAUCUCUGUCCUCACCGGCUCUAUUCUGGAGGCAUCGGCAUUAACAAAAGUUGUGGUCUAACGCUUCCUACUAAAUUAAGGGAAAAAUACAAGAUGGCAACAGAUCAGAAGUAAGAUAGAGGCAUCAUCCCUGUUUGUUCCUCCUCUCGCAUCAAUCCCUCCUCAUGAGUAGGGAUCAGGGCUGGUUUCAUGGAAUAUCCUCUCUAGAUUUUGACCUCAGCCCCUCCCCCCAUGACUCUGUCCUUCUAAGAGCCAUCCAGGAUCUGGGGCUCUUCAUUAGGUGAAAACUUAGGUCAACUGUAUGUCUGACCCUUAACUCCCCAUUUAUUCCAGAGAUUAAAGAAUGGAAGGGGUGGGAGGCAAGGGUUACUCGGGUUUAAAUAUUGUCUCAGAUCCUUUGCCCCAGGUAGCAUUGAAAAGCCUAAAACUCAACUGCUGUACAGGCCAUGCAGCCUGUGUCUGUGGGCUUUCAGUCUUGGGCCUGCUGAGGGGCAAAUAAAAUUGCCAAGGGGUUAACAAUUACAACGGCAUUUAUUCAGCAUGCAUUACAUGCUGGACAUAGAACUGAAUGCUUCUACUACAUGAAAUUAUUUAAUUCCCUCAACUCCUGGGAGUUUUAUAUUUCUCCCCUUUCUUCAAGAGAAGAAACUAAAGCUUAGAAAGGGCUAGUCUCUUAUCCAAGGUCAUACAGUGAGGGUUGGUGAACACGGGGUCAGAACCAUCCCUAACUUCAAGCAAGGUGACAGGGAAAAACGCACUUCAGAAAUUCUCAGAGUAUUUACCAAGCAUCCCAGUCAUUUGAAACUUCACAGAAUCGAAAUUGUUGCAUCAAUCCUCAUUUCAGGUUUUAUAAUCCAGCUAAGACUGCAAAUUCCUUGAGGUCAAAACUGCGUUUUCAACUUCUCUAUGUUUUUCAAAGUGCCUAACAUAGGAAUUAGCACAAAAACCAGGCAAUUUAAAAAUAUGUAUUAGCAAAUCUAAACAUGGCGAGGUAAAUUACUAAUUAUCAAGUG
Molecule: long non-coding RNA, 5668 nt
Filed under: Sus scrofa (pig)
Lineage: Eukaryota; Metazoa; Chordata; Mammalia; Artiodactyla; Suidae
Description: lncRNA (ENSSSCG00000061178.1)
Source: RNAcentral